This 167-nucleotide ribosomal RNA is filed under the name uncultured bacterium. RNAcentral's name for it is "partial 16S rRNA". It matches the Rfam family "Bacterial small subunit ribosomal RNA", at positions 355 to 511 of the family's 1533-position model. The record is from RNAcentral.
UAGGGAAUCUUCCACAAUGGGCGCAAGCCUGAUGGAGCAACGCCGCGUGAGUGAAGAAGGUCUUCGGAUACGUAAAACUCUGUUGUUAGAGAAGAACACGAGUGAGAGUAACUUGUUCAUUCGAUGGACGGUAUCUAACCAGCAAGUCACGGCUAACUACGUGUCAG